UACGUAGGGGGCAAGCGUUGUCCGGAAUUAUUGGGCGUAAAGAGCGUGUAGGCGGUCCGGUAAGUCGGCUGUGAAAGUCCAGGGCUCAACCCUGGGAUGCCGGUCGAUACUGCCGGACUAGAGUUCGGAAGAGGCGAGUGGAAUUCCCGGUGUAGCGGUGAGAUGCGCAGAUAUCGGGAGGAACACCUAUGGCGAAGGCAGCUCGCUGGGACGUUACUGACGCUGAGACGCGAAAGCGUGGGGAGCAAACAGG
RNAcentral lists this ribosomal RNA (253 nucleotides) under uncultured bacterium. RNAcentral describes it as "partial 16S ribosomal RNA". It matches the Rfam family "Bacterial small subunit ribosomal RNA", at positions 524 to 776 of the family's 1533-position model. The record is from RNAcentral.